UCGAACCCAGGUAUCCCACAUUGCAGGGAGAGUCUUUACCAUCUGAGUCACAAGGAAGUGAGGCCGUAUACAUAAAGUACCACAGGGUCCUGCCCCAGGCUAUGGGUUCCCUCCCCUUGCACCUGAGCUGUGGAAGGUGAGCCCCAGAUUUCUCAAGGGUGCCUCCUAGGAGCUAACCAAGGACUCAGAGGGCGUGGUUUGGGAGAGAAUUGUAUACUUGGUUCCUUAACAGGCAUUUAUUAAGCCCCAGCUGUGUGCUUAAUAAAUAAUAACACCAACAAAAAAUAAUAUCACCAAGGAACAAAAGCGCAACUCUGUGCCAUGCCCCCUGUGGACUUCACAAGAGCCAGGACACAUUCUUCAAGUCUGGAAGGAGAGCAAGGACAGAUAGGCAAGCGAGAGUCAAAGUGAAGUAAGCAGGUGGGAGAUAUGGGGGCGGGGGGCACUUCUCCCUUAAUAGUUCUUCCUCUCUCUCCCUCUCUGACUCCAUCUCUUCCUCCUCUACUUUUACAUCCAGUGAUAAAACUAUGUUUCUUUCCUGUAGGUACAGCUCCUUAUGCCAAUAAAGCUCCUCCUCCGUUGUCCACCAUGCGUGCAAGGUGGGGUAGAACACCUGCGUUGGGUAUUGUUAAAAGAUAAACUGAUGCACAUUAAAAAUUGUUUUUACCAGUUUAUUUGAACAAAAAUCUCUUGGAAUCAGCAGCGCCAAACCGCAAGUGGUUAAGAGCUCUCAGUGGUCAGGAGCCAGCUGGGAAGGACCUAAGCAGAGAAGGUGCAGAAGCCAAGGAAGAAGCUGUUUGGCUGCAGUGUAACGUCUGGUUGGCUCUCAGUGACUGGUCCUCAGAGUUUUUAUUUCAUAACCUUGAGGCAUUUGCAGGCUUAGAUUUUGGUUUGCUCAUACAGACCCCCCCCUUCCACCCAAGGGCAUCACAGCCGCCUCACUCUAAGGGUCUCCUUGUUUAAUUAACAAACCCCAGUUCCAUAACUAACUGGGUGACCCUUUUUGUGUUGUUGAACCUCGAUAAGCUUCAGGCCUCAUCAUCUGUGUAAUUGGCUUGUUAAUAAUCUUUCCUGUAGAGGAUUAUCAUGCGAUGUAAAGGAGAAAAAGGAAGUAUUUCCACCUGGCACGUAAUAAGUGCUCAUCACCUGGACACUGUUGUUGACCGUAAAGCUCACCCUAGAACCAGGCUGAGGGGACUGGAAGCCUGGCUCUGCCGCUUAUGAUCUGUAUGAUACCAGGUGUUUCCUGACCUCUAUGUCCAGGUAGGAAUAAAGAAAGGUUGCUUCAGCCAGCCAGUUACAUUAUAGGUACAGGACCCAGGAUGGUACACGUAAAGCACUGAUUUCAGCAUCCAGCACAUGGCAGCUGCUCAAUCAAAGAAAUAGAAGUAAAGAAUAAGUAAUUAACACAUCACCAGAUCUCCUCCCCAGCUUCCCCUUCACUGAUCUUUUGAAUAAACGGUGUGAACAAGAUAACAUCUAAAGAAAUAAGAAAGAUUUUACGGCCGAGCAGAAUCUUCAGAGGUGGUUUUUUGGGGAAGGCAGAGACCCAUCGUGUCCCCAGAUUGCUAGCAUUCUGAAUAAAAGGCAACUUUCCUUUACAUCAACAUUUAAAAAAAACAAACAGACAAACUUGCUUUUCUGGAAGCUCUGCUCACUUUCCUGUUCGCAUCAGCUCGGGCUACUACUGCCACUCUCCCUGAAAGCCGCAGUCCCCGAGGGGCCCAGCAGUGAGAAGAGGGAACAGCGUAUCUCCGCUGGACGUUGCAGCCCCUAAGUCAAAGUCACGCAGCCCAAAGUCACGCAGCCGACUGGUAGCAGAGUUAGACUGGAAGCCAAGUCUCCUGACUUAUUCCAGCUCUACCUCAGCAGAGUGGAGGAGAUGGUAAGACACAAAAGUAUGUCCUGUGGAGCCAGAUGGCAUGGGAUCAAGCCCUACCUCCAUCAGU
Molecule: long non-coding RNA, 1949 nt
Organism: Odocoileus virginianus texanus
Lineage: Eukaryota; Metazoa; Chordata; Mammalia; Artiodactyla; Cervidae
Source: RefSeq, a predicted model, not a curated record